This 619-nucleotide long non-coding RNA is filed under the name Equus asinus (donkey). RNAcentral's name for it is "lncRNA (ENSEASG00005037263.1)". The record is from RNAcentral. Lineage: Eukaryota; Metazoa; Chordata; Mammalia; Perissodactyla; Equidae.
CCAGGAGAGUGCAGUCUGGGAUUUAGGAGGUCCACCCACCCUGCCAUUCAGUUAUCUAUUCAGCAGAUCUCUAUGGAGCCAGGCACCGUGCCAGGCCCUGGAGACUCAGGGGUGAGCAGACCACACUCCCUCUUCCCAGAGCUUGUAGUGUAGAAGGGAAGCUGGUGUUGACUUACCACAACAGAUGUGAAACUGUAGCUCUGUCAUGGGCUGUGCAUGAGGUCUGCUCUAGCCUGGCAGUCAGUGAAGGCUUCCCUGUGGGCAAGAUACUCAGCAGAGACCAGAAAGAGGAAUGAUGUUGAUGGAGGAAAGAAGGGUGGAAGAAUGCUCCAGAGAACAGCAUGUGCAAAGGCCCUGCAGCCAGAGAGGACACAGAUACAUGAAAAACGUAGAGAAGACUAUUGUGGCUGAGGUGAAGAAUGAAGAUGCAUACAGCGUGUAAAAGGCCUGGAGAGGCAAACCAUGCAAGAUGUGGGGCCAUGAAUCAGCAUAGUCCACUCAUGGACUAUGUGAGGGAAGCCAGCAGCUCCACGACAUCUGAGGGUUCUGUCCUCAUGUGCCUGGUUGAAGCCGGAUCCUUAGAAUAUCCAUGUCCUUCAGGGGAAGAGGACUGUCCAAG